AGCGAACGUUUGCGGCGGGCCUAACACAUGCAAGUCGAACGCACUAGCAAUAGUGAGUGGCGCACGGGUGCGUAACACGUGGGUAAUCAACCCUUCAGCCUGGGAUAACGACUCGAAAGGGUCGCUAAUACCGGAUACGGCGCGAGAGGCUUCGGCUUCUCACGAGAAAGCCACGCAAGGGGCACUGAAGGACGAGCCUGCGGCCCAUCAGCUAGUUGGUGAGGUAAGAGCUCACCAAGGCUAAGACGGGUAGCUGGUCUGAGAGGAUGAUCAGCCACACUGGAACUGAGACACGGUCCAGACUCCUACGGGAGGCAGCAGUGGGGAAUAUUGCGCAAUGGGCGAAAGCCUGACGCAGCCACGCCGCGUGAGCGAUGAAGGCCUCGGUCGUAAGACUCUGUGGGAGAGACGAAGAAAGACCUGUGAAGAGCAGGCCUUGACGGUAGUCUCCUUAGUCAAGCACCGGC
Molecule: ribosomal RNA, 467 nt
Filed under: uncultured bacterium
Lineage: Bacteria
Description: bacterial SSU rRNA
Rfam family: Bacterial small subunit ribosomal RNA
Source: RNAcentral